Molecule: ribosomal RNA, 753 nt
Filed under: bacterium enrichment culture clone B3-34
Lineage: Bacteria
Description: bacterial SSU rRNA
Rfam family: Bacterial small subunit ribosomal RNA
Source: RNAcentral
AUUGAACGCUGGCGGCAUGCUUUACACAUGCAAGUCGAACGGCAGCGGGGGUGCUUGCACCUGCCGGCGAGUGGCGAACGGGUGAGUAAUGCAUCGGAACAUGCCCAGUCAUGGGGGAUAACUACGCGAAAGCGUAGCUAAUACCGCAUACGCCCUGAGGGGGAAAGUGGGGGAUCUUAGGACCUCACGUGAUUGGAGUGGCCGAUGUCAGAUUAGCUAGUUGGUGGGGUAAAGGCUCACCAAGGCGACGAUCUGUAGCGGGUCUGAGAGGAUGAUCCGCCACACUGGGACUGAGACACGGCCCAGACUCCUACGGGAGGCAGCAGUGGGGAAUUUUGGACAAUGGGCGCAAGCCUGAUCCAGCCAUGCCGCGUGAGUGAAGAAGGCCUUCGGGUUGUAAAGCUCUUUCGCAAGGGAAGAAAACGGCAGGGUUAAUACCUUUGUCGGAUGACGGUACCUUGACAAGAAGCACCGGCUAACUACGUGCCAGCAGCCGCGGUAAUACGUAGGGUGCGAGCGUUAAUCGGAAUUACUGGGCGUAAAGCGUGCGCAGGCGGUUUUGUAAGACAGAUGUGAAAUCCCCGGGCUUAACCUGGGAACUGCGUUUGUGACUGCAAGGCUAGAGUACGGCAGAGGGGGGUGGAAUUCCACGUGUAGCAGUGAAAUGCGUAGAUAUGUGGAGGAACACCGAUGGCGAAGGCAGCCCCCUGGGCCUGUACUGACGCUCAUGCACGAAAGCGUGGGGAGCAAACA